AACGAACGCUGGCGGCGUGCUUAACACAUGCAAGUCGAACGCGAACGUCUUCUUCGGAAGGCUAGUAGAGUGGCGCACGGGUGAGUAACGCGUAAGUAACCUACCCUCGCAUUCGGGAUAACCCACCGAAAGGUGUGCUAAUACCGGAUACGUCUGUAUUGAUAUCUUUUUUACAGAGAAAGGUGGCCUCUGAUUCAAGCUACUGUGCGAGGAGGGGCUUGCGUACCAUUAGCUCGUUGGUAGGGUAACGGCCUACCAAGGCAACGAUGGUUAGCGGGUCUGAGAGGAUGAUCCGCCACACUGGAACUGGAACACGGACCAGACUCCUACGGGAGGCAGCAGUGAGGAAUAUUGCGCAAUGGGGGCAACCCUGACGCAGCGACGCCGCGUGGAUGAUGAAGGCCUUCGGGUUGUAAAAUCCUGUCAGAUGGGAAGAAGUGCUGCUUACUUAAUACGUAAUCAGUUUGACGGUACCAUCAAAGGAAGCACCGGCUAACUCCGUGCCAGCCGCCGCCGUAAGAC
This 522-nucleotide ribosomal RNA is filed under the name uncultured bacterium. RNAcentral describes it as "bacterial SSU rRNA". It matches the Rfam family "Bacterial small subunit ribosomal RNA", at positions 29 to 526 of the family's 1533-position model. The record is from RNAcentral.